CUAACGCGUGAAGUAGACCGCCUGGGGAGUACGGUCGCAAGAUUAAAACUCAAAGGAAUUGACGGGGACCCGCACAAGCGGUGGAUGAUGUGGAUUAAUUCGAUGCAACGCGAAAAACCUUACCUACCCUUGACAUGGUCGGAAUCCUGAAGAGAUUUGGGAGUGCUCGAAAGAGAACCGGCGCACAGGUGCUGCAUGGCUGUCGUCAGCUCGUGUCGUGAGAUGUUGGGUUAAGUCCCGCAACGAGCGCAACCCUUGUCAUUAGUUGCUACGAAAGGGCACUCUAAUGAGACUGCCGGUGACAAACCGGAGGAAGGUGGGGAUGACGUCAAGUCCUCAUGGCCCUUAUGGGUAGGGCUUCACACGUCAUACAAUGGUACAUACAGAGGGCCGCCAACCCGCGAGGGGGAGCUAAUCCCAGAAAGUGUAUCGUAGUCCGGAUUGUAGUCUGCAACUCGACUACAUGAAGUUGGAAUCGCUAGUAAUCGCGGAUCAGCAUGUCGCGGUGAAUACGUUCCCGGGUCUUGUACACACCGCCCGUCACACCAUGGGAGCGGGUUUUACCAGAAGUGGGUAGCCUAACCGCAAGGAGGGCGCUCACCACGGUAGGAUUCGUGACUGGGGU
Molecule: ribosomal RNA, 625 nt
Filed under: Herbaspirillum sp. DX73
Lineage: Bacteria; Pseudomonadati; Pseudomonadota; Betaproteobacteria; Burkholderiales; Oxalobacteraceae
Description: bacterial SSU rRNA
Rfam family: Bacterial small subunit ribosomal RNA
Source: RNAcentral